Molecule: long non-coding RNA, 1085 nt
Filed under: Panax ginseng (ginseng)
Lineage: Eukaryota; Viridiplantae; Streptophyta; Magnoliopsida; Apiales; Araliaceae
Description: long non-coding RNA (PGIN_LNC017234)
Source: RNAcentral
CGUAUCAUGAUGCAGAGCUUGUCAUUCAUUUAUUGUUAUCUCUACCUCAAACUUCAUAUAUAUAUAUAUAUAUACACUUCCCCAUUUUUACAUGAAUACUUUCUUUCAUAUACAAGCUAAAUUAAAUUGUGAUGUUGUUUCCAUUCCUAUAUGUACAAAAAUAUAAUUUGGGUGUAGGAUAAUUAUAAAUUGAAAUAUAUUGUUCCCUGAUUAUCAGUGACCAUAAUAAUAGUAUGAUGUUAUGUGUAUGUUACUUUUCUGGCUGAUGAUAUGUUUGUGACCCCAUGAAAGUGAUGCAUAUUUAUGAAUAUAAUACAAAUAUAGAUUAGAUUAACAUCAUUAUUAAAAGAAUGAGAGAGUUCUCAAUUAGAAGGAUAAUAAAUGAAUAGCCAAGUCACCAAAAAGAUGCAAACAGUAUAGGGAUCAUGUGAGGAGAGAGUGUGUAAACAGGAUAAUAACAAUAGAAGAUGACUUUUCAAAAGAUAUGAGAAGGGGUUUAGAUCAGUGAUUAGCAACUCCGACCACCCACCGACAGUUAUGCAAGUCACUGCGUACCGGCUUAACUCUAAACAAAAACAAACAAACAAAUUAAUAAAAAAAUAUAUAUAAAAAAAAAAGAAAAAGAAAAAGAAGCAAUUAAUGGUUCGCAAUGCAUCUUUUUAAUUAUUUGUUAAAAGGGUGAUGAAAAUUAAACCCCAAGACUAGUUUUGUUUGGCAAAAUAGUGUUCUAAUGAUAUUAAAUUAGUACAAAUAAUUAUAUAAGUAUAUCUUUUGCAGGCCUAGGUAAAACAGAAAAAUUUAUAGUAGUAAUGCUUUUGAGACCACCCCACCUUGUGUAAGACAUGCUGGCAAACUUAAUUACCAGCUUUCAUAUGUGCAUAUAUGCCGGCCCUCGAGUCAGUCUUGGUUGGAAUGACAUUAAUUGAUGGCCAAUUAUAUGCACAGUAUUCACAGUACGUAGUUCACUAUGAGAAGACCAAAUGGGACUAUUCAGUUUGGAUUCAGACCAACAUUGAUUGGGACAAGUGAUCUACUCACACAUUGUUCAUAAAUGGUAACUGCAGGAGAUCAGUGGAGACCAAUUG